UACGGAGGAUGCGAGCGUUAUCCGGAUUUAUUGGGUUUAAAGGGAGCGCAGGCGGGCGAUUAAGUCAGUUGUGAAAUGCUACGGCUCAACCGUGGACUUGCAGUUGAUACUGGUUGCCUUGAGUGCGGCAGAGGCAGGCGGAAUUCGUGGUGUAGCGGUGAAAUGCUUAGAUAUCACGAAGAACCCCGAUUGCGAAGGCAGCCUGCUAAGCUGCAACUGACGUUGAUGCUCGAAAGUGUGGGUAUCAAACAGG
RNAcentral lists this ribosomal RNA (253 nucleotides) under uncultured bacterium. RNAcentral's name for it is "partial 16S ribosomal RNA". It matches the Rfam family "Bacterial small subunit ribosomal RNA", at positions 524 to 776 of the family's 1533-position model. The record is from RNAcentral.